UGGUGCGUAGCUCAAUUGGUAGAGCAGCGGUCUCCAAAGCCGCCGGUUACAGGUUCGAGUCCUGUCGCAUCAG
This 73-nucleotide transfer RNA is filed under the name Mycolicibacterium sp. S2-37. RNAcentral describes it as "tRNA-Trp". It matches the Rfam family "tRNA". From Rfam's summary of the family: Transfer RNA (tRNA) molecules are approximately 80 nucleotides in length. Their secondary structure includes four short double-helical elements and three loops (D, anti-codon, and T loops). The record is from RNAcentral. Lineage: Bacteria; Bacillati; Actinomycetota; Actinomycetes; Mycobacteriales; Mycobacteriaceae.